ACAGAGACUGCAAGCGUUAUUCGGAUUCACUGGGCGUAAAGGGUGCGUAGGCGGCCUUAUAAGUCAGUGGUGAAAGCCCAUCGCUCAACGAUGGAACUGCCAUUGAUACUGUAAGGCUUGAGUACAGACGAGGUAGGCGGAAUUGAUGGUGUAGCGGUGAAAUGCAUAGAUACCAUCAAGAACACCGAUUGCGUAGGCAGCUUACUAGGCUGUAACUGACGCUGAGGCACGAAAGCGUGGGGAGCGAACAGGA
This 253-nucleotide ribosomal RNA is filed under the name uncultured prokaryote. Its description in RNAcentral is "partial 16S ribosomal RNA". It matches the Rfam family "Bacterial small subunit ribosomal RNA", at positions 525 to 777 of the family's 1533-position model. The record is from RNAcentral.